UAAGAGAGCAAUGUCAGAAUGUCCCAAGG
This 29-nucleotide non-coding RNA is filed under the name Mus musculus (house mouse). Lineage: Eukaryota; Metazoa; Chordata; Mammalia; Rodentia; Muridae. The record is from RNAcentral.